UGUUGGUUAGCGGCGGACGGGUGAGUAACACGUGGGCAACCUGNCCUGUAAGACUGGGAUAACACCGGGAAACCGGUGCUAAUACCGGAUAAUUCUUUCCCUCUNCAUGAGGGGAAGUUGAAAGUCGGUUUCGGCUGACACUUACAGAUGGGCCCGCGGCGCAUUNAGCUAGUUGGUGAGGUAACGGCUCACCAAGGCGACGAUGCGUAGCCGACCUGAGAGGGUGNAUCGGCCACACUGGGACUGAGACACGGCCCAGACUCCUACGGGAGGCAGCAGUAGGGAAUNCUUCCACAAUGGACGAAAGUCUGAUGGAGCAACGCCGCGUGAGCGAUGAAGGCCUUCGGGNUCGUAAAGCUCUGUUGUUAGGGAAGAACAAGUACCGGAGUAACUGCCGGUACCUUGACGGNUACCUAACCAGAAAGCCACGGCUAACUACGUGCCAGCAGCCGCGGUAAUACGUAGGUGGCNAAGCGUUGUCCGGAAUUAUUGGGCGUAAAGCGCGCGCAGGCGGUCCUUUAAGUCUGAUGUNGAAAGCCCACGGCUCAACCGUGGAGGGUCAUUGGAAACUGGGGGACUUGAGUGCAGAAGANGGAAAGCGGAAUUCCACGUGUAGCGGUGAAAUGCGUAGAGAUGUGGAGGAACACCAGUGGNCGAAGGCGGCUUUCUGGUCUGUAACUGACGCUGAGGCGCGAAAGCGUGGGGAGCAAACAGNGAUUAGAUACCCUGGUAGUCCACGCCGUAAACGAUGAGUGCUAAGUGUUAGAGGGUUUCCNGCCCUUUAGUGCUGCAGCUAACGCAUUAAGCACUCCGCCUGGGGAGUACGGCCGCAAGGCNUGAAACUCAAAGGAAUUGACGGGGGCCCGCACAAGCGGUGGAGCAUGUGGUUUAAUUCGANAGCAACGCGAAGAACCUUACCAGGUCUUGACAUCCUCUGACACUCCUAGAGAUAGGAAUUNUCCCCUUCGGGGGACAGAGUGACAGGUGGUGCAUGGUUGUCGUCAGCUCGUGUCGUGAGANUGUUGGGUUAAGUCCCGCAACGAGCGCAACCCUUGAUCUUAGUUGCCAGCAUUCAGUUGGNGCACUCUAAGGUGACUGCCGGUGACAAACCGGAGGAAGGUGGGGAUGACGUCAAAUCAUCNAUGCC
This 1147-nucleotide ribosomal RNA is filed under the name Neobacillus cucumis. RNAcentral describes it as "bacterial SSU rRNA". It matches the Rfam family "Bacterial small subunit ribosomal RNA", at positions 86 to 1199 of the family's 1533-position model. The record is from RNAcentral. Lineage: Bacteria; Bacillati; Bacillota; Bacilli; Caryophanales; Bacillaceae.